RNAcentral lists this ribosomal RNA (407 nucleotides) under uncultured bacterium. Its description in RNAcentral is "partial 16S ribosomal RNA". It matches the Rfam family "Bacterial small subunit ribosomal RNA", at positions 29 to 526 of the family's 1533-position model. The record is from RNAcentral.
AGUGAACGCUGGCGGCAUGCCUAAUACAUGCAAGUCGAACGAGUGGCGCAGGGGUGAGUAAUGUAUAGCUAAUCCACCCUACACUAGAGGACAACCGUUGGAAACGGCUGCUAAUACUCUAUAGUGUAGGAUGAGGCUAUAUUGUAUCAGCUAGUUGGUGAGGUAAUGGCGCACCAAGGCUCUGACGCAUAACUGGUCUGAGAGGAUGAUCAGUCAAACUGGAGCGGAGACACGGGCGGGGCUCCUACGGGAGGGAGCAGUAGGGAAUAUUGCACAAUGGGGGAAACCCAGAAGGAGCAGCGCCGCGUGGAGGAUGACACGUUGCGAAGCGGAAACUCCUGUUGUUAGGGAAACGGUACCUAACGAAUAAGCACCGGCUAACUCCGUGCCAGCAGCCGCGGUAAUAC